AGUGAACGCUGGCGGUAGGCCUAACACAUGCAAGUCGAACGGCAGCACAGUAAGAGCUUGCUCUUACGGGUGGCGAGUGGCGGACGGGUGAGGAAUACAUCGGAAUCUACUUUUUCGUGGGGGAUAACGUAGGGAAACUUACGCUAAUACCGCAUACGACCUACGGGUGAAAGCAGGGGAUCUUCGGACCUUGCGCGAUUGAAUGAGCCGAUGUCGGAUUAGCUAGUUGGCGGGGUAAAGGCCCACCAAGGCGACGAUCCGUAGCUGGUCUGAGAGGAUGAUCAGCCACACUGGAACUGAGACACGGUCCAGACUCCUACGGGAGGCAGCAGUGGGGAAUAUUGGACAAUGGGCGCAAGCCUGAUCCAGCCAUACCUCGUGGGUGAAGAAGGCCUUCGGGUUGUAAAGCCCUUUUGUUGGGAAAGAAAAGCAGCAGGUUAAUACCCCGCUGUUCUGACGGUACCCAAAGAAUAAGCACCGGCUAACUUCGU
This 491-nucleotide ribosomal RNA is filed under the name uncultured bacterium. Its description in RNAcentral is "partial 16S ribosomal RNA". It matches the Rfam family "Bacterial small subunit ribosomal RNA", at positions 29 to 506 of the family's 1533-position model. The record is from RNAcentral.